This 2722-nucleotide long non-coding RNA is filed under the name Cricetulus griseus (Chinese hamster). RNAcentral describes it as "lncRNA (ENSCGRG00015040189.1)". Lineage: Eukaryota; Metazoa; Chordata; Mammalia; Rodentia; Cricetidae. The record is from RNAcentral.
CGUGGCUUUGGUGAGAGCUUUUAUCACAAGCAAUGAUACUGUGUGUGUGCCCGUGAGGAACAGGAAUGACAGUUGUCCUUCCCUUUAGAUCUCCAUCUGGUUCUGGUCUGAGAGGAAAUACAACCAUCUGCAGAGGAAAUACAACCAGCUGCCUCAAGCUUGUUGGUCAUAUCUUCACUGCCAUGAUGGACUAUACCCCCAAACUGUAAGAACGGAGGAUGCCAGUGAUCAGGCAGACACGGUGCUGGAGAAGUAGCUGAGAGUUCUACAUCUAGAUCCACAGGCAGCAGGAAGAGAGAGACAUUGGGACUCGCUUGAGCUCUUGGAACAUCGUAACCCACCCUCAGUGACAUACUUCCUCCAACAGGAAGUAUGAGGGACAUACUAUUCAAUGAGGUCAUACCCUCUAAUCCUUUCAAAUAGUGCCACUCCCUGAUAACUGAACAUUCAAAUAUAUGAGCCUAUAGGAGCCAUUCUUAUUUAAAAAGCCUGGCUCCCACUAAAUUUAUACAGACUGACCUUAAGACAAGGCCUGUCUUUAAGUAAUCCCAGCUCUUACUUUCUUCAUUCUCAUCUGAACCCCAACCACAGGUUCCCACAGUGUCAAUUGUGGCAGCAACACUAGCUUUUAGCUGUCAGUCCCUAUGAUCAACCUGCCACUUUGCCAACAGAAUUGUGGAGUUGGGGAGGGGCAAUGGAGGUAGCCAUGCAUCACAAGACCACACUUUAGUUCCCAGCUCUUUCCCCAUUUUCCAGGCAUUUAUUUAUACCUGUUAUGACCUUUAGCACCCUGCAAAUGUUAUUUCUGGUGACGUUGUCAAGUUUUAUGUGUUUUCCCAGACAGGAAUCACCGACAUGUUCCCUGGGCCCUGAGUCAGAAGCUCAAUAAAUGCAAUGUUUUGUGAAUUACCAAGUGGGCAAUGUGGAGAAUGUUGUCACAGGGUGGCACCAUCAUUCAGAGGAAAAAUCCUCCACAGCAAUUAAACACAGCGGAAAGGAGAGUAAAUGGACACACCUGUAAUUCUACCAUCCAGAGCAAACCACACCUUCUUGGCUCUGGUCUCUCUGUUCUUCAGUGUGUUGGAGGGGUUGUUUGAGUUGUCAUAGGGUUGGAGCAGAGCCUUUGCAGCCCAAACAAGCUGCAGUCUGCACCUGAACUCAGUAGGACAAUUUAAACAGGCAAUUAAUAGUGAAGAACACAGAGUCACCCACUGUGGGCACAUUAUAAUGAGUAAUAAGUAGGAUUUAGUGAUCUCAAAUCCAUCUCUGAGGUCCUGAUGUGACGUUCCUGUUUAAACAGAGUAAAAAACAUAUGCUCAGCUAAGCAGUCCUGCUCAUCUUGACCUAUCAUUGACUUGGCUGCUGUCUCUCCUAUGAAGUGGCUCGACAGGCUGUCAGAACUGUGUGAAAUCUCUCUCAGGAAGACAUGGUUCCCCUCUGGCUAUAUGUUUUUCCUUCUCCCAACAAGAGAUUCCUAGGGAAAUUCCAGUUUCUUGGGCGGCCAUUGUUUCAGUAGUCUAAUAGCAAAAGAGAGGAUCACUAGUGACCUGUUAGAGUAUUCUCAUUGCUGCCAAGUGUGUGGUUUGAGAAUAACCUCCAGAGGCUCAUAGAUAUGAAUUUGCUUGGUCCUUGGUUGGUGGAUCAGUUUGGGAAGGAUUAGGAGGUGUGGCCUUUUAAAGGAGUUGUGUUAUUGGAGGUGGACUUUGAGGUUUCAAAAGCCCAAACCAGGCCCAAUCUCUCUCUCUCUCUCUCUCUCUCUCUCUCUCUCUCUCUCUCUCUCUCUCUCCUCUCUUCUGCCUCCAACUUGUGGGUCAGGAUGUAAGCUCAUAGCUACUGCUCCAGUGCCAUGACUGCCUGCCUCAUGCCAUGCUCACUGCCAUGAUGGUUAUGGAUUCACCCUCUGGAGCAAGUCCCCAAUUAAAUGUUUUCUUUUAUAAGAUGCCUUCGUCGUGAUGUCUUUUUCCCCCUACCAAUAAAAAAGUAACUAAGACACAAAGAUAAUGGCAAGGUGCAGUUUUUUUUUUUUACACAAAUGAAACCACAAAAUACACUGUCUGACCCCAUUGCUGAGACAUGUUGCAUUGCAUUGUGUAUGUAUGUCUCAAAUAAAGAGGUCUCUAGCCUCAAUUUAGAGUGCUCUAGGCAGGCCAUGUUCCUUUCCUUUGAAAAAGUUAAUUUAUUAUUUUUAACUUUCUCAGUUUUAUGGAUGUAUAGUUAACAAAUAAAUUAUACAUAUAUAAAAUUUGCUAAAUGCAGCUGUGUAGUGAUUUACAAUGGAGCUGAUUAACAUAGCUAUCACCUGACACGGUCACACCUGUGUACUGGGACCUCUGGUCUAUGUAGUCCUAUGUUCCUAUGCUCACCUGGCUGAGCAAUGGGUCUCUUGAGCGCCUUUAUCUUAGAACUUCAGCUUGAGCCUGUCCAUCAAUCUCUUUCCCCUCCCCAUGGCUUCCUGACCCUGGCAACCUUCUACUUUGUGCUGUGGGCAUUUCAUUUCUGUAGAUUGUACACAGAAGUGAGGUCAUGUGGUAUUUGUCUUUCAGGGGCUGGGUGACUCACUGAGCACAAUGUCCUCCAGGUUUGUCCAUGCUGUCACAACUCAGGGAAUUUCCUCCUCUUCAAGACUGAGUAAUAUUCCUGUGUAUGAGUCACAGUUUCUUUAUCCCUAUGUCCAUCAGCAGAACUUAGGAUGACUCUCUGUCUUGACUCUUGUGAACCGCAC